UCCCUAGUGGUCCAAUGGUCAGGAUUUGGCAUUUUCACUGCCGUAGUCCAGGUUUAAUUCCCAGUCAGGGAA
RNAcentral lists this transfer RNA (72 nucleotides) under Ovis aries (sheep). It matches the Rfam family "tRNA". Rfam says of the family: Transfer RNA (tRNA) molecules are approximately 80 nucleotides in length. Their secondary structure includes four short double-helical elements and three loops (D, anti-codon, and T loops). Lineage: Eukaryota; Metazoa; Chordata; Mammalia; Artiodactyla; Bovidae. The record is from Rfam by way of RNAcentral.